Molecule: long non-coding RNA, 853 nt
Organism: Cornus florida
Lineage: Eukaryota; Viridiplantae; Streptophyta; Magnoliopsida; Cornales; Cornaceae
Exons: 5
Source: RefSeq, a predicted model, not a curated record
CGUACGUUUCUUAAAAGAAAAAUAAAAAAAAUAAAUUUUAUAUACAAAAAUAUAAAUACUCACGUACAGACCACCCACAUACAAUUUAUACAAUUUUAGGGCAAAUCAUUUCAGCCUCCCCAAUCGUCUCCAUGUCUAUUCUCGUUCUCAACUCUGAACUUACCCUCUUUCUAUCUCUGCAACUGCAAACUACAAAAUCUACAAGAAUCAGAACCCAUAUCGGCAUAUCAUUUCAGAUUGUUCAAAAAAUCAAAACCCAUACCCUUCAGUUUCCAUCGCCCGCUGUUCCAGUUCGGGUUCGCCGUUCGCAAGCUUCAGCCUCUGUCCCGCUGUCUCUCAACUCUUAAGCCCUCUCUCUGCAACUGCUAACUUGAUCUCCCUUUGCAAGAUUUGAAAGACUAAUUGGUAAAUUUGGGUUGAACUUGAGUCUUGAACAAGCUGAAGGCCCCUUAUACAGGAUUUGAAAGACUAAUUGGCAAAUUUGGGUUGAACUUGAGUCUUGAACAAGCUGAAGGCCCUUAUACAGCUGAUGGAGAGAACCCUGGGCAGUUUAUUCCAUGCACUACUGUGUGGUGGAAGAGUUUUAAUCUUGUUUGCUUAAUCCUCUUGCUGUAAAAGGUCAAAGCUAGGAUUGCGGGAUUGCGGUUCUCGUUACUUUUUGUUGCUGUUAUAUUUUUUUAUAUGGCUCAUGAAGAAGUUGCAUAUAUGGAAGAGAGAGACUAAAACAGAGCAAGAAGAUAUGAAUUUUUUUUUGGUCUUAUUUUGGUUUAGUAAAGAUACUAGGUGUGGAUCAUGUACUUUGAAAUUUGUAUAUGGUUAAUUUUUGUAUAAAAUGAUGAUUUGAAAUUGGUUA